GAAGGAUGUGAAGGACAAUUUGAAUAUAUGUCCAGAGGAGUACAAGCCAAUCUGCAUGAAAAACUGUAACAGCAUAUGGAAGGAUCACAAGAAUAAGAUUAAGUGUAAGUAUUUCAAUCCUAGAAGUGAAGAUCCUAAUAUGAAGGAUGAUGUUCCUUUGCACAUUGUGCCAAGCCAGUGGGAAGAACUUGUGGAGUAUUGGCGUACUUCCGAUGCUGAGAAAAUUGCAACUAGGAACGCUAAAAAUCGAUGAGCUCACGACAUAGCUCAUACC
Camellia sinensis is the source of this 274-nucleotide non-coding RNA. The record is from RefSeq and is a predicted model, not a curated record. Lineage: Eukaryota; Viridiplantae; Streptophyta; Magnoliopsida; Ericales; Theaceae.